UACAGAGGUCCCAAGCGUUGUUCGGAUUCACUGGGCGUAAAGGGUGCGUAGGUGGUGAGGUAAGUCGGAUGUGAAAUCUCCGAGCUCAACUCGGAAAUGGCAUUGGAAACUACCUUGCUCGAGGGUUGGAGGGGGGACUGGAAUACUUGGUGUAGCAGUGAAAUGCGUAGAUAUCAAGUGGAACACCAGUGGCGAAGGCGGCGACCUGGGUAGAUACUGACGCUGAGGUGCGAAAGCGUGGGGAGCAAACAGG
RNAcentral lists this ribosomal RNA (253 nucleotides) under uncultured bacterium. RNAcentral's name for it is "partial 16S ribosomal RNA". It matches the Rfam family "Bacterial small subunit ribosomal RNA", at positions 524 to 776 of the family's 1533-position model. The record is from RNAcentral.